Andrographis paniculata is the source of this 504-nucleotide long non-coding RNA. RefSeq lists it as uncharacterized. Lineage: Eukaryota; Viridiplantae; Streptophyta; Magnoliopsida; Lamiales; Acanthaceae. The transcript has 3 exons. The record is from RefSeq and is a predicted model, not a curated record.
GGUCUCGUAUUCUUCUCAUAUCUCGUGGUUUGGAAAAAAACGUUGUUGGUGAGGGGGUGUUGCUAUCCGACCCUACCCCAGGUGACACUGUUGACAUAGUAAGGGUUUUUGUUACAUCUGCUACUGUUCCGGAGGCUGCGCUUAUUCUACGGACAAUCUCCGGAGCACAAACACUCGGUGAGGUUGUCCGCGCCGAGCCAAUCGACUGGACAUUUAAAGAUCUUGUUCGUCGCCCAUAACUACGGUGUACGGCCACUUUGACGGUGCAUGGGGCGUUGCAGCAUGGCACGUGAUUCUAUGAUGAUUGACGUUUGUUUGUGGAUUGAUGCUAACUGAGUCCUUUAUGUUGGUUGAACUUGUUGUCUCUGCUAUAUUUUGUGUGUUUGUUGCUACGCUUUGCCAUAUAUGUUAGGCUAUAUUGCGAAAUAUUUAUGUUUCUACAGAGUGCGUACUUGCUACAACUUAUGGUGAUACAGAAUUGCCGUAAUAUUUCCAUAUUUUGUA